CGCGGGGUGGAGCAGCCCGGUAGCUCGUCAGGCUCAUAACCUGAAGGUCACAGGUUCAAAUCCUGUCCCCGUAACCA
Molecule: transfer RNA, 77 nt
Filed under: Roseibacillus sp. TMED18
Lineage: Bacteria; Pseudomonadati; Verrucomicrobiota; Verrucomicrobiia; Verrucomicrobiales; Verrucomicrobiaceae
Also listed under: 5 other names
Description: tRNA-Met
Rfam family: tRNA
About the family: Transfer RNA (tRNA) molecules are approximately 80 nucleotides in length. Their secondary structure includes four short double-helical elements and three loops (D, anti-codon, and T loops). Further hydrogen bonds mediate the characteristic L-shaped molecular structure. tRNAs have two regions of fundamental functional importance: the anti-codon, which is responsible for specific mRNA codon recognition, and the 3' end, to which the tRNAs corresponding amino acid is attached (by aminoacyl-tRNA synthetases). tRNAs cope with the degeneracy of the genetic code in two manners: having more than one tRNA (with a specific anti-codon) for a particular amino acid; and 'wobble' base-pairing, i.e. permitting non-standard base-pairing at the 3rd anti-codon position.
Source: RNAcentral